RNAcentral lists this non-coding RNA (24 nucleotides) under Arabidopsis thaliana (thale cress). Lineage: Eukaryota; Viridiplantae; Streptophyta; Magnoliopsida; Brassicales; Brassicaceae. The record is from RNAcentral.
CCACAUUCUUCUUCUAAGUUUUGA